UACGAAGGGUGCAAACGUUGCUCGGAAUCAUUGGGCGUAAAGCGCACGUAGGCGGCUUCGCAAGUCCGAUGUGAAAUCCCGUGGCUCAACCAUGGACGUGCAUCCGCAACUGCGAGGCUUGAGUAUGGAAGAGGGUCGCGGAAUUCCCGGUGUAGAGGUGAAAUUCGUAGAUAUCGGGAGGAACACCAGUGGCGAAGGCGGCGACCUGGGCCAAUACUGACGCUGAGGUGCGAAAGCGUGGGGAGCAAACAGG
This 253-nucleotide ribosomal RNA is filed under the name uncultured bacterium. RNAcentral describes it as "partial 16S ribosomal RNA". It matches the Rfam family "Bacterial small subunit ribosomal RNA", at positions 524 to 776 of the family's 1533-position model. The record is from RNAcentral.